Molecule: ribosomal RNA, 450 nt
Filed under: uncultured bacterium
Lineage: Bacteria
Description: bacterial SSU rRNA
Rfam family: Bacterial small subunit ribosomal RNA
Source: RNAcentral
GUGGGGAAUUUUUCGCAAUGGGCGCAAGCCUGACGAAGCAACGCCGCGUGGAGGAUGAAGGUCUUCGGAUUGUAAACUCCUGUCGACCGGGACGAAUGCACUCGACCUAAUACGUCGGAAUGUUGACGGUACCGGUGGAGGAAGCCACGGCUAACUCUGUGCCAGCAGCCGCGGUAAUACAGAGGUGGCAAGCGUUGUUCGGAAUUACUGGGCGUAAAGGGCGCGUAGGCGGCCUUGUAAGUCUUGUGUGAAAGCCCUCGGCUUAACUGAGGAUCUGCACGGGAUACUGCGAGGCUUGAGUUCGGGAGAGGAAAGCGGAAUUCCGGGUGUAGCGGUGAAAUGCGUAGAUAUCCGGAGGAACACCAGUGGCGAAGGCGGCUUUCUGGACCGACACUGACGCUGAGGCGCGAAAGCUAGGGGAGCAAACGGGAUUAGAAACCCCAGUAGUCC